This is a long non-coding RNA of Lynx canadensis (Canada lynx), 3904 nucleotides long. RefSeq lists it as uncharacterized. The transcript has 5 exons. NCBI's taxonomy places the organism in Eukaryota, Metazoa, Chordata, Mammalia, Carnivora, Felidae. The record is from RefSeq and is a predicted model, not a curated record.
AAUAAGUGUUGUAUGAAUUUUCUAGGGCUACCGUAAUGAAAUACCACAGACUGACUGCUUUAAACAACAGAAAUAUAUUUUCUCACAGUUCUGGAGGUUAGAAGUUCAAGAUCAAGAUGUGGACUGGUUUGGUUUUUUCUGAGACCUCUCUCCUUGUCUUUCAGGAGUUUAUUUUCAUAGGUGGGAAGUCCUCAAAGGAUUUUCAAUAUUAUCAGAAGCUACUGAUGACAUGGAAACAGGUGUAAUCGCUGAACGCGGCUGGAAGUAAUAACCUUGGUCAAGGUGAACAGGGUGCUGGAGAUAUAGCAGUGACCAACACAAAGUCUCCACACUUGUGGAGUUUACAUUCUAUCGGAAUCUUCGCAAAGAGCCCUCCUAUUUACUAGCUGAAAAUGCCCCGUCCAGAACCAUUCAUGACAAACGGUGCAGGGCUCAAGUAGUUGAUCUCUGAUGACCACGUUUCUCCCCGAUAGCAGAGGCCCUCUUCCUUGAGAACUGUUAAGAAGUAAAGAAAACUGCAAAAGAACUACAGAUUCCUGAAAUCAAAGGAACAAAAACAAUGGGAGAAGGCAACAGAAGCAAAUAAAUGAGUUUCUCCAGAGCUGUACAAGGUUGACCAGGACUCCCCUCCCUGCAGCCUGGUGGGAGUUGCUAUUUCUUUUGUAUUAUGGGCCUGGCCUCAUGCCCACUCCCUAAGCCUCAACCCUGUCCCAGAAUGCUGUUCUCUGGGGCCUCGAAACAUACAUGGAUGUGUUAAAGCCUUGGGCGGCUUGGCACCCCACAGCGCUCGCUCCCAGUACCGUCUCUGGGUUACAAUGCAGGGAAAGGCACUAAUCAGAUUGUGCCUCCACCAGCCCCUGUUGUGAGGUUUAGGCCCAAGAUGAGAAGGGAAGGCCCCUGUUUCUGGACUGAAAAGGAAAUGUAAAUCUCUCACAGGCCACGUGCCAGAAGCUGCCGGGAGACCAUUUCCCUGUUAGUAAACAGGGCCUCCUGGGCCAUCUUUCUCUUCUUUAAUAACCUGUGGGGCACCUAUUGAUUGCACAUGCUGGUCCCUCAUAAAUUAUAACAGGGAUGCCUCCUAGUUGCUCUGGAGCUGCGUGGAUGGGAAAAUUGGCUCACUAAUACCUCAUGCUCAUGGAGCACAGUGUAUUGCGCCACAUAAACAUGAAGAAUAUGUAUCAUCAGGCACCGAGAACACACAGGAAACAACUCUAGCGGCUGCAGAGGCUUCUGGGCAUGCUGCAGACUUUAAUUAGCCAGUUUCUUCCACUGGUACUGGAGAGUGGCAGAAAUGCUGAUUACGUGCCUCCUCCUGCAGAAUGCUCUGCUUUCGGUUGGGGGGGGGCGGGUCAAGCUCUGGUGGGUGGGUGAUGGGUCUGCUCUCAUCCCUGCCCCCUCACCAGGAUGGGAGCUGGCACAUAGGAGGGAAGGUUCAUCUUUUGUGCUCGAGCGCCUAGUUAGGAAUCAAGACACAUCUACACUCACUGCCACCUACAGCUGUAUGAUCUUGGGUAAAUCCCUUAAUCCCUCUGAAUCUGCAUCCCAUCUGGGAAGUGGAGAAAGUAAUAUACCUAGUUGGUUGUGAGGUUUGAGGGAAAUAAGGCUGACCUGGUGCCCUGUAUGUUCUCAGUAAAUACUUGGUGAAACUGAAUUCGAAUCAGCUAAAGGUCACGGUGGCAGGUAUAGGUCUGAAACGAUUUCCUUCUCCCGCCUCCAGAAUCUGGCAUCCACCACUACCUGUAGCCAACACCCGGCUCUUUAAGUAAGAAGUGAGGCCACGGAACUCACAGCUUGACUGGAAAUGGUUCUCACAUCCCUCUGUCUUCCUGUGCCCCUCCUGACUUGGCUUCUGAAUUUAAAAUUCACUUCACAGGGCACCUUUCUAAAGUGGACAGUAAACAGAAAAACAUGCCAGCAUGGCUUACCAUUCUACGAAGAAAGCUUGGCAUCUACACGCUCACACUUGACAGAAACUUCAGUGUCUCUAACUUGAAGCAGGCCCUGGGCAAUUGGGUCCACUUGUGCUUUUCCAAAGUGAGUAACCUUGUCCCUGCAGCUCCACUUUUGCCAUUGCGUGAAAAUGGACUGGAAGGACAGUGUGUGUGUACCCAUGUUUUCCUGCCACUUCCCUGGGUCCUAGAAAUGAUCUCUGCUGCUCUGGAAUACUGUGUAGGGGGUUGAAUGGCGGUCCCCAAGAAGAUAAUCCACAGUCAGAACCCGUGCAUGUGACCUUCCUUGGAAAAAGGGUUCGUACAGAUGCAAUUAAAUGAGGGAUCUUGAGAUGAGAUCAUCCUGGAUUCCUGGGUAGGCCCUGACCCAAUGCAAAGUGUCCCUGUACAGUCAGGAGGAGAAAACACAGACACAGAGAAGUCCAUAUGGAGAUGCAAGCAGAGAGCUGCAGCCACAGGCCAAGGAGUCGCUGGGCCACCAGAAGCUGAAAGAGGCGAGCCAGGAUUAUUCUCUAGAGCCUUGGGAGGGAGUGUGGCCUGGCCAACACUGUUUUCAGACCUUUGGCCUCCAGAACUAUGAGAGACUACAUUUCUCUUGUGUUAAGCCACUUAGUUUGUGGCAAUUUGUGACAGCAGCUGUAGGAAACCACUGCAGACGUGUUCCCAAGGAUGGAUCCCAGCUCGGGUACUUCUGUCACAGGAGAUGCUCCUUCUCUCUCUGGGAGGAUUUGCCGGAGCACCAGUCUCAGUGGCCAGGUGGGCAACCAGCUCUUGGGAAGUGCAAACACUCAGAUGGGGCUGUGGCUGAGGAUCCACACUGGAGAAAGCAUGCCGGGAUGCUUUCAGCAUCUCUUGGCAGCCAAGGCAUUGCAGAAAUGGCCUAACUUUGGAACUAGACAGACUUUGGUUUAAAACUCAACUCCACUGUGAGCUUUGUGACUCCAGAUGAACUACUUGCCCUCUCUGUGUUUCAACUUCCUCAUCUAUAAAAUGAGGAUAAUAGCUCCUACCUUAUAGGCAGGAGCAGAUGCAGGAUGAAGCCUGCGUAUUUUUAGAGACCCUUUUAAAGAAGAAGAAAGCUUCAAAUCCAAAAUUAGGAGUGGGGCCUUGUGCUAGGGAGGGGCUCCAAGGCUUACACUAACCCGCCUCAGCUUCCAGGGUGUUCCGAGGGUUACAGAUAAAAGCAUGAAGCCCUAGGCAGCCCUGGCUCCUAGCGAGUGCUUUGCAAGAGGUAAAGCUAUCUGGAUGAAGAAUCCAACACUGAAGUGUCUACUGAAAGGCACACAGAUAUUUUUGUAACACACAGAAAAAUGUAUGAUAGAAUACAUUCCAUGGCGGGUUGCUAGUUGAUGGCUUGACAUCCGUUUUUCCUUUCUUUUCUGUAAUAGAAAACUGACAUUUUGGGGCAUGCCCAUGUGCUCAGCUAACACCUAGCUUUCCAAGCAUCUCUUGCAAAGAGGUGUGGCCAGGACACAAAGCUCUGGCCAAAGAAGUAUAAGCAAAUAGAGGUAAGACACGUCCAUACAAUCUUCUUACGGGAGCGUGUUUGCAACUGAAUUGUGCCUCCCUCAACCACCAUUCAUACGUUGCAAUCUUAAUCCUUAGUAUCUAAGACGAUGACCUUAUUUGGAAAUAGGGUAAUUGCAGGUAUAAUUAGUUAAGAUGAGGUCAUUAGGGUGGGCCAUAGUACAACAUGAAUGGUGUCCUUAUAAAAAGGGGAAAUUUGAACAGAGAACCACACGAGGCCGAGAAUGCAGUGAUGCCUGUGCAAAACUAAGGAACAUCAAGAAUUGUGAGCAGAUUACCUGUAGAAAGGGGAGAGGCAUGGAAUAGAUUUGGCCUUAUAGUCCUCAGAAAGAAUCAGCCCUGCUGACAACUUAAUUGCAGACAUUUGGCUUGCAGAACCAUGAGACAAUAAGUACACUUCUGUUGUAUUAGCCACUCAGUUUGCGGUA